CAACAGAUAUUUCUCUGAUUGGAAUUACAGAUGGGUUUGCUUCUGUUAUAGAAGUGGGUUUUUUGCAGUACUAUUGAGGAAUGUGGCGAUAUAGGCUUCCCUUACUCAAAGGCAUGGGUUUUUGUUCAUUCCAAGGAUUUGGAUGUUUUGGUUUCCAUUAGCAGCUGAAAUCAAUCACCAGUUUGAGGUGUUACUCCUAAAAAGCUCAAGUGCGUUCAGAUCACUGGAGGCUUCUGAAAUGACAGCGGCUUCCCUUGGUUGGUUAUCAGUUCAUACAAGAAUUUCCGAGUUUAGCUUCAGAAAUACAAG
Papaver somniferum (opium poppy) is the source of this 309-nucleotide long non-coding RNA. RefSeq lists it as uncharacterized. The transcript is spliced from 3 exons. The record is from RefSeq and is a predicted model, not a curated record. NCBI's taxonomy places the organism in Eukaryota, Viridiplantae, Streptophyta, Magnoliopsida, Ranunculales, Papaveraceae.